RNAcentral lists this ribosomal RNA (195 nucleotides) under Triticum aestivum (bread wheat). RNAcentral's name for it is "partial small subunit ribosomal RNA". Lineage: Eukaryota; Viridiplantae; Streptophyta; Magnoliopsida; Poales; Poaceae. The record is from RNAcentral.
AUGAUGGCGAGCAAUGUGAAUCCAGAUGCUGUAACUUAUAAUAUACUCAUCAGUGGAUUGUGUAAAUUGGGAAAAUAUGCAGAAUCUCUGAAACUUUUUGAAGACAUGGUGGACUUGCGAAUUCCUUUAACCAAGGAGGUUUACUCAUCCUUGAUUUGUUCAUAUGUCAAACAGGCAAGUGUUGAUUUUCAUUAG